AAAUGGAGUGCCUGAAAAAAAGGAUAACUUUGAUAGAGUUACAUAUGUGACCCCCGCCACCUCCAUU
RNAcentral lists this transfer RNA (67 nucleotides) under Lamiinae sp. 2 ACP-2013. RNAcentral's name for it is "tRNA-Ile". The record is from RNAcentral. Lineage: Eukaryota; Metazoa; Arthropoda; Insecta; Coleoptera; Cerambycidae.